AUCCAUCCAGAAUGGAGAACGGAAGAACAGUCUUCACAGAACAAUUUUUCCAUAUGUCCGCAGAAGAACUUGUUGGCUGCUCAGUUACUGACCAUGGGUUGUCAGCAGGAUAAGAGACAGUUGUUUUAACUUGCUGACCAAACUCUAUCGGAUCACUUGUCUGAAUUUUGCUAUUUCUAGAAUCAGGGAUGGAUGAACCACUGCUGCUUUCCUGCCAUGCAGUUUUCUUUACACCUGAGAAGGUAGCCUCCUCUCUAGAUUUCCCUUCUGUUCUACCAGAGUAGUUGCUUGUAUUAGCUCUAUCAUUCUGAUAAG
This 315-nucleotide long non-coding RNA is filed under the name Linum usitatissimum (flax). RNAcentral's name for it is "long non-coding RNA (LUSI_LNC001027)". The record is from RNAcentral. Lineage: Eukaryota; Viridiplantae; Streptophyta; Magnoliopsida; Malpighiales; Linaceae.